Molecule: ribosomal RNA, 486 nt
Filed under: uncultured bacterium
Lineage: Bacteria
Description: partial 16S ribosomal RNA
Rfam family: Bacterial small subunit ribosomal RNA
Source: RNAcentral
AUUGAACGCUGGCGGCAUGCCUAACACAUGCAAGUCGAACGGACGCACGGACUUCGGUCUGGUGUCGAGUGGCGAACGGGUGAGUAAUUCAUAGGAACGUACCCUGUCGUGGGGGAUAACUUGACGAAAGAUUAGCUAAUACCGCAUACGACCUGAGGGUGAAAGUGGGGGAUCGGAAAUGGCCUCCUGAUCCGGUUGCGCUUGAUGUUUGAUUAGCUAGUUGGUGGGGUAAUGGUACACCAAGGCGACGAUCAGUCGCUGGUCUGAGAGGACGAUCAGCCACACUGGGACUGAGACACGGCCCAGACUCCUACGGGAGGCAGCAGUGGGGAAUUUUGGACAAUGGGGGCAAGCCUGAUCCAGCAAUGCCGCGUGUGUGAAGAAGGUCUUCGGAUUGUAAAGCACUUUUGUCCGGGAAGAAAACACGCGGGUUAAUACCUGGCGGGUUUGACGUUACCGAAAGAAUAAGCACCGGCUAACUACGUG